Molecule: ribosomal RNA, 504 nt
Filed under: uncultured bacterium
Lineage: Bacteria
Description: bacterial SSU rRNA
Rfam family: Bacterial small subunit ribosomal RNA
Source: RNAcentral
UGAGUAAUGUCUGGGAAACUGCCCGAUGGAGGGGGAUAUCUACUGGAAACGGUAUCUAAUACCGCAUAACGUCUUCUGACCAAAGUGGGGGACCUUCUGGCCUCACACCAUCGGAUGUGCCCACAUGGGAUUAUCUAUUAUGUGGGGUAAUGGCUCACCUAUGCGACAAUCCCUAUCUGGUCUGAGAGGAUGACCACCCACACUGGAACUGAGACACGGUCCACACUCCUACAGGAGGCACCACUGGGGAAUAUUGCACAAUGGGCGCAAGCCUGAUGCACCCAUGCCCCGUGUAUGAAAAAAGCCUUCUGGUUGUAAAGUACUUUCAGUGGGGAGGAAAGCGUUAAGGUUAAUAACCUUGUCGAUUGACAUUACCCGCACAAAAAACACCGGCUAACUCCGUGUCACCACCCGCGGUAAUACAGAGGGUGCAAGCGUUAAUCGGAAUUACUGGGCGUAAAGCGCACGCACGCGGUCUGUCAAGUCUGAUGUGAAAUCCCCGGG